UUUCGAAUCGUUCACAAUGGGGGAAACCCUGAUGGCGCGACGCCGCGUGGGGGAUGAAGGUCUUCGGAUCGUAAACCCCUGUCACCAGAGACUAAACGGCAGGUUCAUAGCCUGCCCUGAAUUAACCUGGAGAGGAAGCAGUGGCUAACUCCGUGCCAGCAGCCGCGGUAAUACGGAGACUGCGAGCGUUACUCGGAUUCACUGGGCGUAAAGGGUACGUAGGCGGGCAGGUAUGUCAGGUGUGAAAUCCCGGGGCUUAACUCCGGAACUGCGCUUGAAACUACUUGCCUAGAGUAUUGGAGGGGAAAGCGGAAUUCCAGGUGUAGCGGUGAAAUGCGUAGAUAUCUGGAGGAACACCAAAGGCGAAGGCAGCUUUCUGGACAAUUACUGACGCUGAGGUACGAAAGCGUGGGGAGCGAAAGGGAUUAGAUACCCCCGUAGUCC
Molecule: ribosomal RNA, 444 nt
Filed under: uncultured prokaryote
Description: bacterial SSU rRNA
Rfam family: Bacterial small subunit ribosomal RNA
Source: RNAcentral